CCUCUUACCCUCGUUUCUCACCUUUCACCCUGUCCCUCGGCCCGCUUUUCCCCUCCCCGCUCUGUCCUGUCGUUUUCUUAACACUCUUCACACGCGCACUUCCUCCUCCUCCUCUUCUCUUUUUCCCACCCCUACCUUUGGGCCCUCCUUCCUUAACCUCCGCUGGCCCCCCAUUCCAUGAUCCGUCCACCUGACACGCUGGGUUUCAUGCCUCUCUUUCCCAGGCUGUGGGUUGUGCCCUUCACUCCUUGCCCUCCUCCAUUCCCUGUCCUGAUCUGAACUCCUCUCCUUGCCACGCUCCCUCACCCUUAUCCCUCUGCACACUCCAAAAUUUUUAAAGAAAAAGGAGAGAGAGAAAAAAAAGUAAAAGAAAAGAAACCCAAAAGGGAAAAUAUAGCUAAGGUGAACUGCAAAACCAUAUUCCUGCUGCUGUCAGUUAUGAUGCACUGAGAAAACUUCAGAGACCUAAACUUUUUCCAGAGAAGAGAAGCUUUACUGGUGUUCCAGCCCUAAGAAACUUAAAUCCUCAGUGUGACACAACUCAGUCCUUCUACUGCAGCAGCUCUUUUAUAAAAGCCUCCCAAAGCUCCAAGAAGGAACAAAGAAUGUGACCCAGUAAGCUCACACCAUAAAUCUAUAUUGCAGAAACCUUUGUUCAAGAAAACGGCAGAUGCUCUGUUGAAUCCACUGGAGAUUGUUCUGAUACUAAGGACAAGUAUCAACCAUCUUUCCUGUGAAAAAUUCCCUCUCGUACUUUAGUUCUGUGGAUCCAAAAUUUAUAGCAUUCUUCUACCACCACAGGGGCUCAUAUGACAUUAACAGACAAGACACUUUUCAGAAAGACAGGCAACGUGUUGGACCUUCCGGAGCUUCUCAGAAGACAGAGGGUUUUCUUUUGAGGAUUUAAACCUCAGACACAGGGAGCUGACCUAUUCACCUUAGAAUCCUCUGGGGCACCCAUUACAGUGUCUGUACCAAGGAGGCAACAAAGAACGGCGGAACAGACUGGAGCAGAAGGACCACCCAGCAGAGCCAAGCCAAAUCACUGACCCUCAGAGGCCUGAUGUGAAUGCUUAUGGCUUCAGUCCAUUGGAUUCUGCAGUAAUCUGCCGAUCUACAGUAUUACCACAGUAAAUAACCGAUAGACCUGAAAACGAAUGCAUGCCUUGUGCCAAAAUUGCAGGAAACCUCACCAGGAGAAACAAUUUUAUAUGAGGGAAUGUACUCUCUCCUUUGCAUUUUCCCUCAAAUCUAUAUUUUUAGCCCCUCACUUGUCUCUACAGAGCCUCAGUUGCUUAAUCUAAUUGCUGACUGAACAUCUCCAGGAAACUGUGUGUACGUGUUUGUAUUCAUAGUAUAUUUAUUUAUUAUCUGUUUACUUCCAUGGGAUAUAGUCUCCAUAAGAGAGUAGUCAUCAUUGUAUUUGUUGAUGCUUAAUAAAUAAUCAUUGAAUGG
This is a long non-coding RNA of Homo sapiens (human), 1455 nucleotides long. Ensembl annotates it as NUTM2B antisense RNA 1. Its record names the gene NUTM2B-AS1. The record is from Ensembl. NCBI's taxonomy places the organism in Eukaryota, Metazoa, Chordata, Mammalia, Primates, Hominidae.